AUUGAACGCUGGCGGCAGGCUUAACACAUGCAAGUCGAACGAGGGGCAGACGGGUGUGUAAUGCUUGGGAAUCUUCCUUAAGGAGGGGGCUAACUAAGGGAAACUGUAGCUAAUACCGCCUACCACAGGAUGAGCCCAAGGGGGAUUAGGUAGUUGGUGAGGUAAAGGCUCACCAAGCCGACGACCUCUAGCUGGUCUGAGAGGAUGACCAGCCACACUGGGACUGAGACACGGCCCAGACUCCGACGGGAGGCAGCAGUGGGGAAUAUUGCGCAAUGGGGGCAACCUGACGCAGCCAUGCCGCGUGAAUGAAGAAGUCCUUCGGGUUGUAAAGGUCUUUCGGUAGCGAGGCGUUAACUACAGAAGAAGCACCGGCUAACUCCGUGCCAGCAGCCGCGGUAAUUC
Molecule: ribosomal RNA, 405 nt
Filed under: uncultured bacterium
Lineage: Bacteria
Description: partial 16S ribosomal RNA
Rfam family: Bacterial small subunit ribosomal RNA
Source: RNAcentral